Molecule: ribosomal RNA, 265 nt
Filed under: uncultured bacterium
Lineage: Bacteria
Description: partial 16S ribosomal RNA
Rfam family: Bacterial small subunit ribosomal RNA
Source: RNAcentral
UCUUAGUUGCGGACGGGCGAGUAACGCGUGAGCAACCUGUCCUUCAGAGGGGGACAACGGCUGGAAACGGACAGUAAUACCGUAUAACGUAUUUUUACCGCAUGAUAGAAAUACCAAAACUGAGGUGCCGAAGGAUGGGCUCGCGUCUGAUUAGAUAGUUGGUGGGGUAACGGCCUACCAAGUCGACGAUCAGUAGCCGGACUGAGAGGUUGAACGGCCACAUUGGGACUGAGACACGGCCCAGACUCCUACGGGAGGCAGCAUG